CCUACGGGAGGCAGCAGUGAGGAAUAUUGGUCAAUGGACGAGAGUCUGAACCAGCCAAGUAGCGUGAAGGAUGACUGCCCUAUGGGUUGUAAACUUCUUUUAUAUGGGAAUAAAAUGUUCCACGUGUGGGAUUUUGUAUGUACAAUAUGAAUAAGGAUCGGCUAACUCCGUGCCAGCAGCCGCGGUAAUACGGAGGAUCCGAGCGUUAUCCGGAUUUAUUGGGUUUAAAGGGAGCGUAGGUGGAUUGUUAAGUCAGUUGUGAAAGUUUGCGGCUCAACCGUAAAAUUGCAGUUGAAACUGGCAGUCUUGAGUACAGUAGAGGUAGGCGGAAUUCGUGGUGUAGCGGUGAAAUGCUUAGAUAUCACGAAGAACUCCGAUUGCGAAGGCAGUUCACUGGACUGCAACUGACACUGAGGCUCGAAAGUGUGGGUAUCAAACAGGAUUAGAUACCCGAGUAGUC
This 460-nucleotide ribosomal RNA is filed under the name uncultured bacterium. RNAcentral describes it as "partial 16S ribosomal RNA". It matches the Rfam family "Bacterial small subunit ribosomal RNA", at positions 338 to 795 of the family's 1533-position model. The record is from RNAcentral.